This 411-nucleotide ribosomal RNA is filed under the name uncultured bacterium. RNAcentral's name for it is "bacterial SSU rRNA". It matches the Rfam family "Bacterial small subunit ribosomal RNA", at positions 505 to 916 of the family's 1533-position model. The record is from RNAcentral.
GUGUCAGCCGCCGCGGUAAGACGUAGGAGGCGAGCGUUAUCCGGAAUCACUGGGCGUAAAGGGCAAGUAGGCGGUUGUUCAAGUUGGGCGUGACAGAUCUCGGCUUAACUGAGAGAGGACGUUCAAUACUGAGCGACUAGAGGGCAGGAGAGGAAAGUGGAACUCCCGAUGUAGCGGUGGAAUGCUCAGAUAUCGGGAAGAACACCGGUGGCGAAGGCGGCUUUCUGGCCUGUACCUGACGCUGAGAGGCGAAAGCUAGGGGAGCGAACGGGCUUAGAUACCCCGGUAGUCCUAGCCGUAAACGUUGGAUACUGGGUAAUGGUGGUCAAGGCCAUCAGUGCCGAAGCAAACGCGUUAAGUAUCCCGCCUGGGGACUACGACCGCAAGGUUAAAACUCAAAUAAAUUGACGG